This 494-nucleotide ribosomal RNA is filed under the name uncultured bacterium. Its description in RNAcentral is "partial 16S ribosomal RNA". It matches the Rfam family "Bacterial small subunit ribosomal RNA", at positions 28 to 507 of the family's 1533-position model. The record is from RNAcentral.
GACGAACGCUGGCGGCGCGCUUAACACAUGCAAGUCGAACGGAAAGGCCUGCUUUCCCUUGUGGAUUGCGGGUACUCGAGUGGCGAACGGGUGAGUAACACGUGAGUGAUCUGCCCCCAACUUGGGUAUAAGCCUGGGAAACUGGGUCUAAUUCCCGAUAGGACUGCAGGGUGGUGCCUGUGGUGGAAAACGAUUUUCUAGUGGUUGGGGAUGAGCUCGCGGCCUAUCAGCUUGUUGGUGGGGUAAUGGCCUACCAAGGCGGCGACGGGUAGCCGGCCUGAGAGGGUGGACGGCCACAUUGGGACUGAGAUACGGCCCAGACUCCUACGGGAGGCAGCAGUGGGGAAUAUUGUACAAUGGGCGGAAGCCUGAUGCAGCGACGCCGCGUGGGGGAUGACGGCCUUCGGGUUGUAAACUCCUUUCGACCGCGAGGAAGCCACCUGGUUGGAAGGGUGGUGACGGUAGUGGUAGAAGAAGCACCGGCUAACUACGUG